This 459-nucleotide ribosomal RNA is filed under the name uncultured bacterium. Its description in RNAcentral is "partial 16S ribosomal RNA". It matches the Rfam family "Bacterial small subunit ribosomal RNA", at positions 338 to 795 of the family's 1533-position model. The record is from RNAcentral.
CCUACGGGGCGCAGCAGUGAGGAAUAUUGGUCAAUGGGCGGGAGCCUGAACCAGCCAAGCCGCGUGAGGGAAGAAGGUACAGCGUAUCGUAAACCUCUUUUGUCAGGGAACAAAGGCGGGGACUAGUCCCCGGAUGAGUGUACCUGAAGAACAAGCAUCGGCUCACUCCGUGCCAGCAGCCGCGGUAAUACGUAGGAUGCGAGUGUUGUCCGGUUUUAUGGGGUUAAAAGGGUGCACAGGAGGCCUGUUAAGUCAGCGGUAAAAGCCCGGGGCGCAACCACGGCGAGCCGUUGAAACUGGGAGGCUGGAGUUGGAGAGAAGUACGCGGAAUGCGCGGUGUAGCGGUGAAAUGCUUAGAUAUCGCGCAGAACCCCGAUUGCGAAGGCAGCGUACCGGAUCCAAACUGACGCUGAGGCACGAAAGCGUGGGUAUCGAACAGGAUUAGAUACCCGGGUAGUC